RNAcentral lists this long non-coding RNA (5310 nucleotides) under Equus caballus (horse). RNAcentral describes it as "lncRNA (ENSECAG00000054132.1)". The record is from RNAcentral. Lineage: Eukaryota; Metazoa; Chordata; Mammalia; Perissodactyla; Equidae.
UACAAGUGAUGCUAAGUGCUGUGAGGAAGUUUACAGGGUGACAGGAGAGACAACAAGAGGAGGGACCUACUCAGAGAGGGUGGUAUGGGACAGACUCUCUGUACAGGUGACAUUACGCUAAACCCAGAAGGAUGAGGAGGAGCCAUGCAGAAUGUAGCUGAGCUGGGGAUGCACUCUAGCAAGAAGCGAUGUGACAAAGGCCCUGAGACCUGAAAGGGGCAAUGCUGGAAUGGAAAAUAGGAAUUGGAAAACGGGAGGUGGAUAUGGGACAUGUUGUAGCUGAGGGGCCAGUGGGCACCCAGAAGAAGAUACCAAGGCAGUUCUGGAAACACAGGACUUGAGCUCAGAAGAGAGGAUUGCCUGCAUGGAGGAGAUAAGGGAAGCAAUGCAUUUGGCAGGAUUGCCCAGGGGAGUGAUCUAAGAUACACAGACACAUAAGACAUAGAAGCUGAACCAAAAGAUCCCCGGGGUGUGCAGGGUCAGCCCCGGGAGUCCUCAGCCCCACACCACCCUCUCUGAGUAGGUCCCUCCUCUUGUUGUCUCUCCUGUCACCCUGUAAACUUCCUCACAGCACUUAGCAGCAGCCUGUGAACUGAGGAGCAGAAUUGUGAAUUGAGGUAGUGGAGGACAGAGAGCCUGACAACAGGAGUUCCUGUGGGGAUUUCAAGGCUGAAGAUGAUCAGAGAGGGGGCAACACCAAGGUAGGGAAUGAGAUCAGGUAGCAACAUUCAGUUCACCCCAAAUCAUAUCCAUUGCACAAGAGCAUGGGCAGCCUGGUGCCAGCAAGAGCCAAGGAUGGAGCCUUAGGAAACAAAAGGAGGGAGGGCCUGGGGACAGAUGCUCCCCAGGCUGAAGCGGAUACAGACGGCCCUGCUGGUGAAGAACACAAACCGGAAUUCCCUAUUUCAGCUGUUUUGUAUGAAAGCUAGUGCUGCCCAAGUCAAAAUGCAUGAUGUGUUCAGAGAAAAUGCUGACCUUCUGUUCUCCCACAAGUGAGCUGAGCAGGGAUAGAGAACGGAGUUGCUCUGGAGAAGUCUACAACAAAAUUAAUGGCUCAGAAAGGCUGAGUGUGAUGACAGCUGCUUUUCCUCAGUUUUCUUUCCUGGACUUGAGACACUUUCUUUUCCCGUAAGACUUGCUGGUUGUUGCUAAAGGGCAACACAACACAUGCAAACUUUUAAAUUUGCGAGAAUCAGAAACAGAAAUUCCUCUUUGGAACACUGCUGCAGAUGACGGCAAAGCCAAGAUGCUGUGGGACUCCCUGAAGAGGAGAUGUACCAAAACUCUGCGUCCUUAGAAGACAGCCCACUUCAUGCAGUGUUUUUGGGUAUCCACAGCAGCCUAACAAAAACGGCAGCCGAGGCCUUUCAGUUAAAGCCGCUGAUGCACAGCCCGUAAUUUCCAUAGUCCCUCUAGCUGUAGAAGCUUCUCUCUACACCAACAAUGCAGGUCAAGAAUCUGAACUUAAAUGACUGAUUUUGCCACGUUUUCUACUUUCACUUGGUAAUUCUUACAGAAACCGAAAAAAACAAUUUCACUAAGUGCUUCAUUUAUCUGUAUCUACACGUGGACUUAGGAGGGUCCUCUCAGUACAUAAAAUAUCUUUUUUUUUUUUGGUGAGGAAGAUUGUUGCUGAGCUAACAUCCAUGACAGUCUUCCUCCAUUUUGCACGUGGGUCAGUCGCCACCACAGCACGGCUUGAUGAGCAAUGUGUAGGUCCGUGCCUGGGAUCCAAACUCAUGAACCCUGGGCAACCAAAGUGGAGCACCUAAACUCAACCAUUACGCCACCGGGCAGCCCCAAAAUAUCUUAAAAUUAUAAUACCCUAUUUUAAGCUGAUAACAACUUAACUUCAACAGAAUUCCUAAACUUCACAUUUUUACUUCUCCCUCUCACAUUUUAGGUUAUUAUUGUUACAAUUUACAUAUUUUUAAUAUUGUGUAACUAAUAACACAUUAUUGUAGUUACAGCUACUUUUACUACAUUCCUUUUUUUUUUUACUUUUAAACUACAGUUCUAAUGAAUUAUGCACCGCUUCCAUAUAAGAGAAUCUAACUUGGCUGUAUACUUACCAUCACCAAUAAGAUUUACGUACCUUUUUACGUUUUUAUGAUGUUACUGAAAGUUUGGUCUCUGAUCCCGAUGCCAAUCCAAGUAAAGAGAACUGAGUCUUGGGAGAAAAAGGAAAGGCUUUACUUUGCCAGGCAGAGGGAGCAAAGCAAGGGCCAGUGCCCCAAAAGUUGCUGGCUCUCUAUUAAGAAAUGGGUAAGGGUUUUCAUUUGGGGUUUUCGGUAGGGGAGGGGGCCGUGGUCUUCUUGGUCAGCGUUUUCCCAUGGGCCUGUGUCUGGGCUGCUUCCAGGGAGACAGGAUUUUUCAGCUGAGUGUCCUUGGCUGUUUAUCUCCAUGGUAGAAGGCAGACUCUGAGGUCAGGACGCCGAGGAGUGGGCCUGGGAAGCUUUGGUCUCUUGAUAUUCUUUGCACAUUAGUUUCUCUCUAAGAGAACUUCCAGGUCCUGGGAUUAGACACAACUUUGGUGGGAGCCCAGGGUGAGGCCACGUGGGCUUGAACAAUUUCUAACUUGUUUGGCCCUAUAGCUCAGGGAGUCAGAGGCUAAAAAAACAAGCAUUUACAUAUGAGCAUAAUCUAAGACCCAGGGACCUGGGAAUGUGUGUGUUUGGUUUUAACCCACAUGUGCCAGGUUCACCGUAGGGGAACUGAUAUCAGGGCUGAUAUCGACUGAGAACUGGGAACAAUGUCACCCGUUGUGGCCAGGGGAAGCUCAAGGUCAGCGGGCGGCUCCCCUCGCUCCAACAGGGUCUGCCCCUUCUGGGACUCUUAGCAGCAUCUCCUGUGAACAGCUGUCAGCUGUCCUCCUCCCAGGGCACAAAUCAGGAAGACUCCCAUCUAGCCAUCCGAAAGCCACUGUGUCAGUGGCGCCCACCCCAGAGCAACAUGUGCCAGGCCCAUAUUUCUCAGAAAUCUGUCGCUGGCUCAGCUCUGUCCUCUCAGCCCGGAGGACGGGAGUGGACACCACAGGCCCAGACUUCCAAGUCUGUCAGGGGCUCAGCGCCGUCCUCUCAGCCGGAGGACGGGAGUGGACACCACAGGCCCAGACUUCCAAGUCUGUCAGGGGCUCAGCGCCGUCCUCUCGGCCCGGAGGACAGGAGUGGACACCACAGGCCCGAACUUCCAAGUCUGUCAGGGGCUCAGGGGCCAUCCUCUCAGCCCGGAGGACGGGAGUGGACACCACAGGCCCGAACUUCCAAGUGUGUCGCGGCUCAGUGCCGUCCUCUCAGCCCGGAGGACGGGAGUGGACACCACAGGCCCAGACUUCCAAGUCUGUCGGGCUCAGGCCGUCCUCUCGCCCGGAGGACGGGAGUGGACACCACAGGCCCGAACUUCCAAGUCUGUCAGGGGCUCAGGGGCCAUCCACUCAGCCCGGAGGACGGAGCGCGGCCGCCCUUCCUCCCACGCCUCCUCAGGCCCCCGCCUACUGGGCAAGCCGACCCCGCGCAGUUCACCAGUUCAACGACCGCCAGGCUUCUCGGCCUCUGACCGAUGGGCCGUGGGAUCUACUAACGGGAACUGCUGCAAGAGAAACUGAGGCACGCCGAACGCUCUUCUGUUUGUUUGAGUAAAAACGACCCCAUCCGGCAGUGUCACGCGGAGACGCUGGGAUCACCGGCCAACAGGGGCUGGACACAGACUUCUGCCGAGAAGAGGCGACAUGAGGGAAGGAGGCGCGGGCGGCGCUGCCUCUGAGGCCGGGCUGGCUGUCGGCAGGCCGUCCUCGGUUCCCCGCGUUAACCCUGAGGCGCCCGCGGGCCAUCGGCACGGCAGCCACACUCGGAGGGCGCCCGGGAGCUGACGUAAGCACGUAACGCGGACGCGCCAGGCCGCGCUCCCUCGAAGGCCGGCAGGCCGCUGGAAGGUCGAGCGCCCCGCUCUCUAGCCCGCCCCAACUGGGGCCCGGGGGCCGGGCGCGCCUGCACACGGAGGGACAGCGGCUCUCGGACGGGACGGCGGCGCCUACUCACCGUGCCCAGCGCGCCAACCCAACAGGACCAAGUGCCCCCGCGGCGCUGGGGCCUGGCGGCGCCAGGCCGGGCCCCCGAGGCCGGCCUCGUGGAGGGGCGAGGAGCGGGGGCGCUGCCUCGGGAGCUCGCCCGGACGGCCCAGGGCCCGCCGCCCCAGGGGCUCGACUCCAGGCCCGCUGGAGGGCCUCGCCGCGGUGGACUCCGGGCGGGCUGCACCCAGGUGGGGCACAGCAGGACCUGGACCGGAAGCUGGGGCGCGAGGACGGGAGGCGGCCGCUCCGGGAAGGCCGCUAUCCUGAGGCGGCCAAGUGACCGGACGUGGGCCUCGUGCAGGGGUCAGUCGGAGCCUCCCUGGCACAGCAGAGGCCUCGAGGUGUGGGCAGGCGGCGGCUCACCGGAAGCUGGGCCAGAAGCUCCCUCCACAUGCCGCCGGAAUCCCAGCGGCCAAAGGGUGGGGGGCAUGGGAGGUGAUGACUGCUGGCUCUUAAAACUUCCCCACCCCGCCCCCCCACCCCCGCGCCGGAAGUGACGCACGUUACUCUGCUCGCCCCUCAUUGGCCAAGGGAAAUCAUGUGGCCACACCUUCCUUCAAAAGGGCAGCGCGGGCCGCCCAGCGCUCCUGGACCGGGUGGUGGUGAGGGCACCAGCGUCUGCCCACGUGCCUGCCCUGCCUGUUCAGCCUGGUGGGAAUCCCCGUCCAGGAGUGCAAGCCGGUGGGAACCAACUGCCUGCUCGAUUUACUUCAUCCUUGAAGUGCUGCCCGAUGGUAAAAGAUGGAUUUCCACAGUGUGGCUUCUGGUCAGCUGCUCAGCAGAGGAGGAACCGGAGCCCACCUCAGCCCCUCUGGCCUGUCCUGGCCACAAAAAUCCCCCCAGCCUCUUGCACACCGAGGGGUGUGCUGUGUCUGGAGAGGCGUCGUGAAUCCGAGUAGUUCUGGAGAGCCGUGCCCUCCAGGAGGUGCCAGGAAACACUCCACAGGAAGUCUGGGGCUGUAGGGCCUGCUGAGGGAUGCCACCCACCGAGGAAAGGGGUGCAGAGCUCCCCACCCUUAGGAACACGGUUCAGGAAUUAUAUGUUCAGCACGAACGGGGCCCAUGUGAGAUCACGACCCUUCUGUCGUCUGUGUCGGUCAUCGUCUUUGAAGAUGGGCUCAUGACCCACUUGUUCAUUCUCCUGGACCAGCCAUCUUUCAAUCAUUCGUCAACAAUCUAGUAUUGUGUAAGGGGUGAGAAGCUUUGGGAAGGAAGUCCCUUUGGGAGAAGCAAAGAUGUUU